RNAcentral lists this unclassified non-coding RNA (279 nucleotides) under Glomeraceae sp. RNAcentral describes it as "partial contains 5.8S ribosomal RNA and internal transcribed spacer 2". The stretch from base 1 to 71 matches the Rfam family "5.8S ribosomal RNA", at positions 84 to 154 of the family's 154-position model. The record is from RNAcentral. Lineage: Eukaryota; Fungi; Glomeromycota; Glomeromycetes; Glomerales; Glomeraceae.
GUGAAUCAUCGAAUCUUUGAACGCAUAUUGCACUCUCUGGUAUUCCGGAGAGUAUGCCUGUUUGAGGGUCAGUAAAAUAAAAAUCUGGGUUUUUGCGGCCGGUUGUGGUGACUCUUCGGAAUUGCGGCGUCUUUACCUUUCGGUUAAGUGUCUUAAAAUUUUUGAAUGAUAUCUGAACGUAUUUAAAUUUAUUUGGGACGUCUUGUAGUAUCGAUGGUUUAUUGGAAGUGUUGAUCCGCAUGACUCGCGUGUAUAAUUUUUCAUCUAAUGAUCUCAGAU